RNAcentral lists this ribosomal RNA (116 nucleotides) under Treponema sp. The record is from RNAcentral. Lineage: Bacteria; Pseudomonadati; Spirochaetota; Spirochaetia; Treponematales; Treponemataceae.
CCCGGUGGCCGUAGCGGAGGUGCCACACCCGUUCCCAUUCCGAACACGGAAGUUAAGCCCUCCUGCGCCGAUGAUACUGCCCCCCGGAGGGGCGGGAAAGUAGGCCGCUGCCGGGC